Non-coding RNA from Odocoileus virginianus texanus, 1620 nucleotides. The record is from RefSeq and is a predicted model, not a curated record. Lineage: Eukaryota; Metazoa; Chordata; Mammalia; Artiodactyla; Cervidae.
AUGCCGGCGGGGCGCCGAGGCGGGGGCCGCGGCCGGGCAGAGUCUGCGAGUGCCGCGCCCGGGCAUUACCAGCCCCGGGGAGGCGCCGCCCGCAAGGACACCUCUCCGUCCCGCCUCGUCCGCAACUCCGGUCCUUGUCGAGCUCGACGCGAGCCAGGAGUCCGGACGUCCCUCUGCGCGCGGCUCAGCAGCUUGAGCAGUCCUCGCUGCCCCAGCUCGGAGCCAACUCCCUCUCGGACCUGGGGCUCCCGACGCGGAUUUUCAGCCACUUCUCACCUCGGGGCUGUGCCUGCCUCCCGCUCGCUCUCCCGCUGCCCUCCUUCUCCGCUCAGGACGGGGGUGCCAAGAUGCCCCGCUACUGCCCAGGGCCCCGGGCCGCCCCCGACGUGUGACCCCAGCCUGGUCCCCCUGCUCGGCCGUCCACCUUCCCCUUGGAGACCCCCGGCCCGGCCCCCGGGGGAGGAGGAAGAAGACGACGAGGCCGAGGGGGGGAUGUCCAGCUCCAAAAGCGUGAGCCCCCCGGGCUACGCGGCGCAGACAGCGGCGGCGCCGGCGUCCCGGGGAGGCCCGGAACACCGCUCCGCGUGGGGAGAGGCCGACUCCCGCGCCAAUGGCUACCCCCAAGCCCCCGGGGGUUCGGCCCGCGGCUCCACCAAGAGACCUGGGGGGGCGGUGACCCCGCAGCAGCAACAGCGCCUGGCCAGCCGCUGGCGCAGCGACGACGAAGACGAUCCUCCGCUGAGUGGCGAUGACCCCCUGGCCGGGGGCUUCGGCUUCAGCUUCCGUUCCAAGUCGGCCUGGCAGGAGCGCGGCGGCGACGACUGCGGUCGCGGCAGCCGGCGGCAGCGGCGGGGCGCGGCCGGCGGGGGCAGCACCCGGGCGCCCCCUGCGGGCAGCGGCGGCGGCUCGGCUGCUGCGGCCGCCGCAGCGGGCGGCACAGAGGUGCGCCCCCGUUCGGUGGAGCUAGGCCUGGAGGAGCGGCGUGGCAAGGGCCACGCGGCCGACGAUCUGGAGGCCGGCGCCGUCGAAGAAGACGAAGGGUCCGGGGAUGGGGGCAGCUCGGCAGGCUCGGGCGCAGGGCCUGGUGCGGUGCUGUCGCUGGGCGCCUGCUGCCUGGCACUGCUGCAGAUAUUCCGCUCGAAGAAGUUCCCAUCGGACAAGCUGGAGCGGCUGUACCAGCGCUACUUCUUCCGUCUGAACCAGAGCAGCCUCACGAUGCUCAUGGCUGUGCUGGUGCUCGUGUGCCUCGUCAUGUUAGCCUUCCACGCGGCACGGCCCCCGCUGCAGCUGCCCUACCUGGCUGUCCUAGCGGCCGCUGUGGGUGUGAUCCUCGUCAUGGCCGUGCUCUGCAACCGCGCCGCCUUCCACCAGGACCACAUGGGCCUGGCCUGCUACGCGCUUAUUGCCGUGGUGCUGGCCGUCCAGGUGGUGGGCCUGCUGCUGCCCCAGCCGCGCAGUGCCUCUGAGGGCAUCUGGUGGACUGUGUUCUUCAUCUAUACGAUCUACACGCUCCUGCCCGUGCGCAUGCGGGCUGCGGUACUCAGCGGGGUGCUCCUGUCCGCCCUCCACCUGGCCAUCGCCCUGCGCACCAACGCCCAGGAUCAGUUCCUGCUCAAGCAG